UCCAGACUCCUACGGGAGGCAGCAGUGGGGAAUAUUGCACAAUGGGGGAAACCCUGAUGCAGCGACGCCGCGUGAGCGAUGAAGCAUUUCGGUAUGUAAAGCUCUAUCAGCAGGGAAGAAGAUGACGGUACCUGACUAAGAAGCCCCGGCUAACUACGUGCCAGCAGCCGCGGUAAUACGUAGGGGGCAAGCGUUAUCCGGAUUUACUGGGUGUAAAGGGAGCGUAGACGGCGAUGCAAGCCAGAUGUGAAAGCCCGGGGCUCAACCCCGGGACUGCAUUUGGAACUGUGUGGCUGGAGUGUCGGAGAGGCAGGCGGAAUUCCUAGUGUAGCGGUGAAAUGCGUAGAUAUUAGGAGGAACACCAGUGGCGAAGGCGGCCUGCUGGACGACAACUGACGGUGAGGCGCGAAAGCGUGGGGAGCAAACAGGAUUAGAUACCCCGGUACG
Molecule: ribosomal RNA, 447 nt
Filed under: uncultured bacterium
Lineage: Bacteria
Description: bacterial SSU rRNA
Rfam family: Bacterial small subunit ribosomal RNA
Source: RNAcentral